This 396-nucleotide ribosomal RNA is filed under the name uncultured bacterium. RNAcentral describes it as "bacterial SSU rRNA". It matches the Rfam family "Bacterial small subunit ribosomal RNA", at positions 28 to 406 of the family's 1533-position model. The record is from RNAcentral.
GACGAACGCUGGCGGCGUGCUUAACACAUGCAAGUCGAACGAGAAUACUUAGACAGAAGCUUUCGGGUGGAAGACUUUGUAUUCGAGUGGCGGACGGGUGAGUAACGCGUGAGUAACCUGCCUUAAAGAGGGGAAUAACAACGAGAAAUCGUUGCUAAUACCGCAUAAGACUACAGGAUCGCAUGAUCCAGGAGUCAAAGAUUUAUCGCUUUAAGAUGGACUCGCGUCCCAUUAGCUAGUUGGUAGGGUAAUGGCCUACCAAGGCGACGAUGGGUAGCCGGACUGAGAGGUCGAUCGGCCACACUGGGACUGAGACACGGCCCAGACUCCUACGGGAGCAGCAGUGGGGAAUAUUGGACAAGUGGGGCAACCCUGAUCCAGCAAUACCGCGUGUGU